Molecule: ribosomal RNA, 491 nt
Filed under: uncultured bacterium
Lineage: Bacteria
Description: bacterial SSU rRNA
Rfam family: Bacterial small subunit ribosomal RNA
Source: RNAcentral
AACGAACGCUGGCGGCGCGCCUAAUACAUGCAAGUCGAGCGAGAAGGUGUAGCAAUACACUUGUAAAGCGGCGAACGGGUGAGGAAUACAUGGGUAAUCUACCAUCGAGUGGGGAAUAACCAACCGAAAGGUUGGCUAAUACCGCGUACGCCUCCGAGUCUUCGGGUUCGGAGGGAAAGCUGCACUGUGAGUGUAGCGCUCUUUGAUGAGCUCAUGUCCUAUCAGCUUGUUGGUAGGGUAACGGCCUACCAAGGCUUUGACGGGUAGCUGGUCUGAGAGGACGAUCAGCCACACUGGCACUGCGACACGGGCCAGACUCCUACGGGAGGCAGCAGUAAGGAAUAUUGCGCAAUGGGCGAAAGCCUGACGCAGCGACGCCGCGUGGGGGAUGAAGGUCUUCGGAUUGUAAACCCCUUUCGGGAGGGAAGAUGGAGCGAGCAAUCGUUCGGACGGACCUCCAGAAGCAGCCACGGCCAACUUCGUGCCAGCAG